This 416-nucleotide long non-coding RNA is filed under the name Cyanistes caeruleus (blue tit). Its description in RNAcentral is "lncRNA (ENSCCEG00000022919.1)". Lineage: Eukaryota; Metazoa; Chordata; Aves; Passeriformes; Paridae. The record is from RNAcentral.
AGUCAUGCAAAACACAAGCAGGAUGCCAGCUCAGCUCUGCCAGGCUGACAAAGCAGAAGUUAUGCAAAACAACAACAUUGUGCUUGCUCAAAAGUUGAGGUAGAGGAACAGCCACCUAGAAAGAACACCAGACUUUGAAGACAGACCCCAAAGAACCAAAGCUUUGUGCUGAGCAGUGCUUCAGUUGCCCAGGAGUUCCCAUAACUCUCCAGAAGGCUACUGCAGGAAAAACCAGCAGCAGACACAGACUCCUGCUUCCUGACAUCCUCAUAUAAGUGAGCAGUGGCUGAAAUGAGCUUUUUUUCCUCCCGGUUUGAGAUUAGGAAACCAGCUCACCAUGGACAGAGAGACUUUGCUGAUCAGAGAGCCUUCAGUAUUCCAGCAGUAAGUGGUUCCUGAAAGAGGCCAGUGGCUGU